RNAcentral lists this long non-coding RNA (316 nucleotides) under Mytilus galloprovincialis (Mediterranean mussel). The record is from RNAcentral. Lineage: Eukaryota; Metazoa; Mollusca; Bivalvia; Mytilida; Mytilidae.
UUUACCCCGUCAGAUUUGCUCUAAAUGCUUUGGUUUUUGAGUUAUAAGCCAAAAACUGCAUUUUACCCCUAUGUUCUAUUUUUAGCCAUGGCGGCCAUCUUGGAAGGUUGGGCAGGUCACCGGACACAAUUUUUAAACUAGAUACCCUAAUAAUGAUUAUGGCAAAGUUUGGUUUAAUUUGGCCCAGCAGUUUCAGAGGAGAAGAUUUUUGUAAAAGUAAACGACGCCGGACGCCGGACGACGCCGGACGCCGGACGCCGGACGCCAAGUGAUGAGAAAAGCUCACUUGGCCCUUCGGGCCAGGUGAGCUAAAAAU